GUGUAUGUCAGGAAGACUGAAGUCCUUUAUUUAUCAACUUAACAUGUACAGCAUGGGCAGCUGCAGCACAGGAUUACUCACACUCUCCUACCUACAUGCUGCUACGCUGACUUAAUAGAGGGAACAAUCUUUACGAAUAAGAGGGUAGUUCAGGCUGCAUAUCAGUUUAAUGCUUGGAUUCU
Molecule: small RNA, 182 nt
Filed under: Gopherus agassizii (Agassiz's desert tortoise)
Lineage: Eukaryota; Metazoa; Chordata; Testudines; Testudinidae
Description: TUC338 (ENSGAGG00000023486.1)
Source: RNAcentral